RNAcentral lists this long non-coding RNA (1734 nucleotides) under Salmo salar (Atlantic salmon). Its description in RNAcentral is "lncRNA (ENSSSAG00000087167.1)". Lineage: Eukaryota; Metazoa; Chordata; Actinopteri; Salmoniformes; Salmonidae. The record is from RNAcentral.
GAGAGAGUGAGAGAGAGAGAGAGUAAGAGAGAGAGAGAGAGAGAGAGGAACAGAAGAGAGGAAAAGAAGAGAGGAACUGAAAUGAGUGUGGUUGUCUCUCUGUGGUCUCUGCUGUAACACUGAUUCUGAAUGGAAUGGAGCGAUUAAACGCUGGGAUUUAAACCUUUUGGAGGAAGAAGGGAGGAGGAAGAAGGGAGGAAGAAGGAAAGGAAGGAAGGAGUGAAAGAAGGAGUGUAUCAGGAGCGGGAGAGAAGCAGGAUUUAAAGGUUAAUAUACGUUUUAUCUAAUCUGUGAGCUCUGACUUGUUCUUCUCAGUGUGAGGAGUCCUGUGUGUGUGUGUGUGUGUGUGUGUGUGUGUGUGUGUGUGUGUGUGUGUGUGUGUGUCUCGCUCUUGUCCCUGUGAGGGGGUACGUAUGGUAGUCGACAGUACACACACCAAGCUAACAGGGUACACACACACCAAGAGAACAGGUUACACACACCAAGCUAAUUAACACACCAAGAGAACAGGUUACACACACCAAGCUAACAGGGUACACACACACCAAAAGAACAGGUUACACAAACCAAGAGAACAGGUCACAAACCAAACUAAUAGUUUAACACACCAAGAUAACAGGUUACACAACACCAAGAGAACAGGUUACACACACCAAGCAAACACGUUACAAACACCAAGCAAACAGGGUACCCACACCAUGGUAACAGGUUACACACACCAAGCUAACAUGUUAAACACACCAACCUAACAGGUUACACACACCAUGCUAAAAGGUUACACACACCAAGCUAACAGGUUAAAUACUCCAAGCAAACAGGUUACACACACAAAGCAAACGGUACCCACACCAUGCUAACAGGUUACACAUAGCAAGCUAACAGGUUUUGCAGAGACCAAACAAAUAGAUUACACACCAAGCUAAUAUGGUACACACAACAAGGUAACAGGUUACACACACCAAGCUAACAGGGUACACACACCAAGCUAUUAGUUUAACACACUAAGCGAACAUGUUACACACACCAAGCUAACAGCGUACACACACCGAGCUAACAGGUUUUCGCAGAGACCAAACGAACAGGUUACACACACAAAGCUAACAGGUUACACACACCAGGCUAACAGGUUACACACAGCAAGCUAACAGGUUACACACACCAAGCUAACAGGUUACACACACCAAGCUAACAGUUUACACACACCAAGCUACCAGGUUACACACACCAAGCUACCAGGUUACACACACCAAGCUACCAAGUUACACACACCAAGCUAACAAGUUACACACACCAAGCUACCAGGUUACACACACCAAGCUACCAGGUUACACACACCAAGCUAACAGGUUACACACACCAUGCUAACAGGUUACACACACCAUGCUAACAGAUAACACACACAAAGCUAACAGGUAACACACACAAAGCUAACAGGUGUCACACACCAGGCUAACAGGUUACACACACCAGGCUAACAUGUUAAACACACCAAGCUAACAGGUUACACACACCAAGCUAACAGGUUAGACACACCAAACUACCAAGUUACACUCACCAAGCUAACAGGUUACACACACCAAGCUAACAGGUUACACACACCAAGAUAAUAGCACUCCAAGCUAACAGGUUACACACACAAGAUAACAGGUUACACACACAAGGCUAACAGGUUACACACACACCAGGCUAACAGGUUACACAGCAGGGGUUGGAAAUGAAAGUAUUUUCAUUCUG